This 500-nucleotide ribosomal RNA is filed under the name uncultured bacterium. RNAcentral's name for it is "partial 16S ribosomal RNA". It matches the Rfam family "Bacterial small subunit ribosomal RNA", at positions 30 to 523 of the family's 1533-position model. The record is from RNAcentral.
AUUGAACGCUGGCGGAAUGCUUUACACAUGCAAGUCGAACGGCAGCACGGACUUCGGUCUGGUGGCGAGUGGCGAACGGGUGAGUAAUAUAUCGGAACGUGCCCAGUCGUGGGGGAUAACGUAGCGAAAGCUACGCUAAUACCGCAUACGAUCUACGGAUGAAAGCGGGGGAUCGCAAGACCUCGCGCGAUUGGAGCGGCCGAUAUCAGAUUAGGUGGUUGGGGAGGUAAAGGCUCACCAAGCCGACGAUCUGUAGCUGGUCUGAGAGGACGACCAGCCACACUGGGACUGAGACACGGCCCAGACUCCUACGGGAGGUAGCAGUGGGGAAUUUUGGACAAUGGACGCAAGUCUGAUCCAGCCAUUCCGCGUGCAGGACGAAGGCCUUCGGGUUGUAAACUGCUUUUGUACAGAACGAAAAGGUCUCUAUUAAUACUAGGGGCUCAUGACGGUACUGUAAGAAUAAGCACCGGCUAACUACGUGCCAGCAGCCGCCGUAA